AGGGUUUGAUUCUGGCUCAGGAUGAACGCUAGCUACAGGCUUAACACAUGCAAGUCGAGGGGAAACGACAUCGAAAGCUUGCUUUUGAUGGGCGUCGACCGGCGCACGGGUGAGUAACGCGUAUCCAACCUGCCCACCACUUGGGGAUAACCUUGCGAAAGUAAGACUAAUACCCAAUGACGUCUCUAGAAGACAUCUGAAAGAGAUUAAAGAUUUAUCGGUGAUGGAUGGGGAUGCGUCUGAUUAGCUAGUUGGUGGGGUAACGGCCUACCAAGGCGACGAUCAAUAGCCGACCUGAGAGGGUGACCGGCCACAUUGGGACUGAGACACGGCCCAA
RNAcentral lists this ribosomal RNA (337 nucleotides) under uncultured bacterium. RNAcentral describes it as "bacterial SSU rRNA". It matches the Rfam family "Bacterial small subunit ribosomal RNA", at positions 8 to 334 of the family's 1533-position model. The record is from RNAcentral.